RNAcentral lists this transfer RNA (76 nucleotides) under Archangium sp. Cb G35. RNAcentral's name for it is "tRNA-Phe". It matches the Rfam family "tRNA". From Rfam's summary of the family: Transfer RNA (tRNA) molecules are approximately 80 nucleotides in length. Lineage: Bacteria; Pseudomonadati; Myxococcota; Myxococcia; Myxococcales; Archangiaceae. The record is from RNAcentral.
GCCCAGGUAGCUCAGUUGGUAGAGCAGGGGACUGAAAAUCCCCGUGUCGGUGGUUCGAUUCCGCCCCUGGGCACAA